AGACUCUGGAGAAUCUCAGUAUUGAGUGCCGAAGGUGCAAGGUUUUAACCGAAUCUCUCAGGCAAAAGGACAGAGCAG
RNAcentral lists this non-coding RNA (78 nucleotides) under uncultured Schaedlerella sp. Its description in RNAcentral is "Glycine riboswitch". It matches the Rfam family "Glycine riboswitch aptamer", at positions 9 to 86 of the family's 94-position model. From Rfam's summary of the family: This family represents the bacterial glycine riboswitch. Glycine riboswitches usually consist of two metabolite-binding aptamers domains with similar structures in tandem. Lineage: Bacteria; Bacillati; Bacillota; Clostridia; Lachnospirales; Lachnospiraceae. The record is from RNAcentral.